This 669-nucleotide long non-coding RNA is filed under the name Sorghum bicolor (sorghum). Its description in RNAcentral is "long non-coding RNA (SBIC_LNC004571)". Lineage: Eukaryota; Viridiplantae; Streptophyta; Magnoliopsida; Poales; Poaceae. The record is from RNAcentral.
AUGGGAAAUCUUAAAAAAUUUUAGAAAAUUUUUGGAAACUAAAAAAGGCCCUAAAUUGCUCCAUUUUGCAGGAGACAACGAGUUACAUAUAAAAAUAAUGGUUUUUGCUAUUUAUCUGUUGAUAGACUUUGUUGUUAUUUAUCUGUCAAAUUCUGGGCCAUUGAUCUGUUCUGAGAUUCGUGCGGCUAGUUGGGUUCCUUGAAGGAUCUGCCUUUAAAACCUGCAAACCUUUUAUCUUUUCAUUUUCCACCGUGUUUUUCUCAAUCCUCUCCAAUUCCGUCUCGCAUGUGCGCCGGCGGGCGCAAAGCCCUCGCCGCCGCUUCUGAAAGGUCCUAAUAUGGCUAGAGAGGGGUGAAUAGCCUAUUUAAAAAUUCUACAAAUUUACUAGAGCAAGGGGUUCGUAAAUAACAAAGCGAAGCUUUUUGCUCUAGCUCUAAAGGGGUGUUUGCAAGCCACCUAUCCAACAAUUCUAGUUGAUAUGAUCACUAGGCACACAAGAGCUAUGUCGCUACUUACACUAGAGAGCUACCUAAAGUUUCUAUACAAUAAUGUAAGCUACUCUAAUUUGCAAGAAAGUAAGAGAGAUGGUUUGAUCUUUAUACCGACGUGUAGAGGGGAUGAACCAAUCAACAAAAUGAAGUGUAAUCACCGGAAGAAAUCCAAUCAACA